Molecule: long non-coding RNA, 2075 nt
Organism: Xenopus tropicalis (tropical clawed frog)
Lineage: Eukaryota; Metazoa; Chordata; Amphibia; Anura; Pipidae
Exons: 3
Source: RefSeq, a predicted model, not a curated record
GAAGGGGUAGGUAGGCUGGGAAGGAGUAGGUAGGCUGGGAAGGGGUUGGUUGCCAUCUUUUUUAGAAAUAAAUACCGGCCUUUCUAUAGGUUUAUGGUUUUUGCCCUGUUAAGAAUAUUGGCAUUAAGCACCACUCUUAGUGUCUAGGCUGGUAAAAUGCUGGGUAGGUGGCAACCCUAGUGGUAGGUAGUCCGGGCAGUAGUGAUAUAGGAAAGGGUUUAAGGGGAUUUUCUCAGUGAAUGGCAGCAGUAUGUAGGUUGGAAAGGGGUAGGUAGGCUGAGCAGAAGUAGGAGGACUGGGAAAGGGUUGGCAGCGGUAGGUAGGCUGGGCAGCAGUAUGUAAAUUGGGAAUGGGUAGGUAGGCUGGGAAAGGGUAGGCAACGGUAGGUUAGCUGGGAAAGGGUAGGUAGGCUGGGCAGCAGUAUGUAGGUUGGGAAAGGGUAGGUAGGCUGGGCAGCGGUAAGAGCCCUGGCAAAUGGUAGGUAGGCUGGGCAGCGGUAGGAGCCCUGGCAAAUGGUAGUUAGGCUGGGCACCAGUAUGUAGCCUGGGAAAGGGUAGGUAGGCUGGGCACCAGUAUGUAGCCUGGGAAAGGGUAGGUAGGUUGGAAAGGGGUAGGUAGGCUGGAAAGGGGUAGGUAGGCUGGGCUGCAGUAUGUAGGCUGGGAAAGGGGUAGGUAGGCUGGGCACCAGUAUGUAGCCUGGGAAAGGGUAGGUAGGCUGGGCACCAGUAUGUAGCCUAGGAAAGGGUAGGUAGGUUGGGAAGGGGUAGGUAGGCUGGGCUGCAGUAUGUAGGCUGGGAAAGGGGUAGGUAGGCUGGGCACCAGUAUGUAGCCUGGGAAGGGGUAGGUAGGCUGGGAAAGGGGUAGGUAGGCUGGGCACCAGUAUGUAGCCUGGGAAGGGGUAGGUAGGCUUGGAAAGGGGUAGGUAGGCUGGGAAAGGGUAGGAAGGCUGGGCACCAGUAUGUAGCCUGGGAAAGGGUAGGUAGGUUGGGAAGGGGUAGGUAGGCUGGGCAGCGGUAGGUAGGCUGGGCAGCGGUAGGUAGGCUGGGCUGCAGUAUGUAGGCUGGGCUGCAGUAUGUAGGCUGGGCUGCAGUAUGUAGGCUGGGCUGCAGUAUGUAGGCUGGGCUGCAGUAUGUAGGCUGGGCUGCAGUAUGUAGGCUGGGCUGCAGUAUGUAGGCUGGGCACCAGUAUGUAGGCUGGGCUGCAGUAUGUAGGCUGGGCUGCAGUAUGUAGGCUGGGCUGCAGUAUGUAGGCUGGGCACCAGUAUGUAGGCUGGGCACCAGUAUGUAGGCUGGGCACCAGUAUGUAGGCUGGGCACCAGUAUGUAGGCUGGGCACCAGUAUGUAGGCUGGGCACCAGUAUGUAGGCUGGGCACCAGUAUGUAGGCUGGGCACCAGUAUGUAGGCUGGGCUGCAGUAUGUAGGCUGGGCUGCAGUAUGUAGGCUGGGCACCAGUAUGUAGGCUGGGCACCAGUAUGUAGGCUGGGCACCAGUAUGUAGGCUGGGCUGCAGUAUGUAGGCUGGGCUGCAGUAUGUAGGCUGGGCUGCAGUAUGUAGGCUGGGCUGCAGUAUGUAGGCUGGGCUGCAGUAUGUAGGCUGGGCACCAGUAUGUAGGCUGGGCACCAGUAUGUAGGCUGGGCACCAGUAUGUAGGCUGGGCACCAGUAUGUAGGCUGGGCACCAGUAUGUAGCCUGGGCACCAGUAUGUAGGCUGGGCACCAGUAUGUAGGCUGGGCACCAGUAUGUAGGCUGGGCACCAGUAUGUAGGCUGGGCUGCAGUAUGUAGGCUGGGGAAGGGGUAGGUAGGCUGGGCUGCAGUAUGUAGGCUGGGGAAGGGGUAGGUAGGCUGGGCUGCAGUAUGUAGGCUGGGGAAGGGGUAGGUAGGCUGGGCUGCAGUAGGUAGGCUGGGGAAGGGUAGGUAGGCUGGGAUGCAGUAGGUAGGCUGGGAAAGGGGUAGGUAGGCUGGGGAAGGGGUAGGUAGGCUGGGCAGUAGUGAUAUAGGCAAGUGAUUAAUGUACUAACAAGUCCCAGGAUGGUUUGAGUGACUGACAGGGGAACUGAGCCCGGGGGGGGGGGGGGG